RNAcentral lists this ribosomal RNA (253 nucleotides) under uncultured bacterium. RNAcentral's name for it is "partial 16S ribosomal RNA". It matches the Rfam family "Bacterial small subunit ribosomal RNA", at positions 524 to 776 of the family's 1533-position model. The record is from RNAcentral.
UACGUAGGGGGCAAGCGUUGUCCGGAUUUAUUGGGCGUAAAGAGCGUGUAGGCGGCCUUACAGGUCAGCUGUGAAAACUCGAGGCUCAACCUCGAGACGUCGGUUGAAACCGUAAGGCUAGAGUCCGGAAGAGGAGAGUGGAAUUCCCGGUGUAGCGGUGAAAUGCGCAGAUAUCAGGAAGAACACCAAUGGCGAAAGCAGCUUUCUGGGACGGUACUGACGCUGAGACGCGAAAGCGUGGGGAGCGAACAGG